GGGUUGUGAGGUUAAGCGACUAAGCGUACACGGUGGAUGCCCUGGCAGUCAGAGGCGAUGAAGGACGUGCUAAUCUGCGAAAAGCGUCGGUAAGGUGAUAUGAACCGUUAUAACCGGCGAUGUCCGAAUGGGGAAACCCAGUGCAAUUCGUUGCACUAUCGUUAACUGAAUACAUAGGUUAACGAGGCGAACCGGGGGAACUGAAACAUCUAAGUACCCCGAGGAAAAGAAAUCAACCGAGAUUCCCCCAGUAGCGGCGAGCGAACGGGGAGCAGCCCAGAGUCUGAAUCAGCUUGUGUGUUAGUGGAACGGUCUGGAAAGUCCGACGGUACAGGGUGAUAGUCCCGUACACCAAAAUGCACAGGUUGUGAACUCGAAGAGUAGGGCGGGACACGUGGUAUCCUGUCUGAAUAUGGGGGGACCAUCCUCCAAGGCUAAAUACUCCUGACUGACCGAUAGUGAACC
RNAcentral lists this ribosomal RNA (465 nucleotides) under Klebsiella pneumoniae. RNAcentral's name for it is "bacterial LSU rRNA". It matches the Rfam family "Bacterial large subunit ribosomal RNA", at positions 1 to 496 of the family's 2925-position model. Lineage: Bacteria; Pseudomonadati; Pseudomonadota; Gammaproteobacteria; Enterobacterales; Enterobacteriaceae. The record is from RNAcentral.